GACGAACGCUGGCGGCGUGCUUAACACAUGCAAGUCGAACGGAAAGGCCCUGCUUUUGUGGUGUGCUCGAGUGGCGAACGGGUGAGUAACACGUGAGUAACCUGCCCUUGACUUUGGGAUAACUUCAGGAAACUGGGGCUAAUACCGGAUAGGAGCUCCUGCUGCAUGGUGGGGGGUGGAAAGUUUCGGCGGUUGGGGAUGGACUCGCGGCUUAUCAGCUUGUUGGUGGGGUAGUGGUUUACCAAGGGUUUGACGGGUAGCCGGCCUGGGAGGGUGAACGGCCACAUUGGGACUGAGAUACGGCCCAGAGUCCUACGGGAGGCAGCAGUGGCGAAUAUUGCACAAUGGGCGGACGCGUGAUGCAGAAACGUCGCGUGCGGGAUGACGGCCUUCGGGUUGUAAACCGCUUUCGCCUGUGACGAAGCGUGAGUGACGGUAAUGGGUAAAGAAGCACCGGCUAACUACGUG
This 468-nucleotide ribosomal RNA is filed under the name uncultured bacterium. RNAcentral describes it as "partial 16S ribosomal RNA". It matches the Rfam family "Bacterial small subunit ribosomal RNA", at positions 28 to 507 of the family's 1533-position model. The record is from RNAcentral.